This is a long non-coding RNA of Phyllostomus discolor (pale spear-nosed bat), 1652 nucleotides long. RefSeq lists it as uncharacterized. The transcript is spliced from 3 exons. NCBI's taxonomy places the organism in Eukaryota, Metazoa, Chordata, Mammalia, Chiroptera, Phyllostomidae. The record is from RefSeq and is a predicted model, not a curated record.
CCCAGACUGGGGAUCAAACUUGCAACCUUGAUGUAUGUGGACAACGCUCUAACCAACUGAGCUACCCAGCCAGGGCACAAAAACUUUUUUUCUGACUCAAAAGCCAAAUACAUUUUAUUUAUUACAACUGGAUGAUAAAAUGUCAAGUCUUUUUUAACCUAUAGCUUUUCUUUCCAUCCCUCUUUUUUACAGUUUUACUACCUGAAGUUUAUUUUUUGAAGAAAUGCAACUGUUUGGUUAUAGUUUCCCAUAAUCUGAUUUUGCUAAUUAUAGCCUCAUGAUGUUGUUCAACAAGUUUGUUUGGUUUUCUUUAAAUCAAACCAGAAGUGUAUCUGAACAGGGUUUGACUUUUCUUUUUGGAAUGGAGCAUGGGUGUAUGAAGGGUGAGAAGACUGCAUAGGUGGGCACAUAAUGCCUGUGCCUUUUUGCGUGUGUGUGAUGUUGGCAACCUUUUGAUCACUGGAUACAUUCAUUCUUUCAGUAGGGGCUGCAAGAUGGUGAUCAUGUUAUUCUGUUGUUCGUUCCUUCUUCCAAAAGAGAAACUUUCAUUAUUUGCCUUAAGGUGUAGUACAUCUAGAAAGGGCAAGAUAAAUGAUUGGUUCUUUACCUAGCAUCCUUCAAAGGUGAUCAUGGGGUUUUGUUUGUUUUAGUUUUAUUCUUGAACUCACAGCUUUAAACAUGCUUCAGUCUAUUACUAAUAUUCUAAUAAUGCUCAAAUUAUCUUUUUUUUGCCUGUAGGAGUCUCUUUAUGUAGGUUCCUGAGAUCUUUUAACAUGACUCAGAAUUUUUGUUAACAGAUUUCUUUCUUGCUAAUGAAAAGAUAUUCUAGGUUUAUUUUGUAAGAUUCCCCUUCCCCGACCCCUACCCUGAGUUAGCAAUUUCUUGUAGGAGCUUAUUCCUUUCGGUGGGAAAUGUUACUUAGAAACCAUAAUCUUGUUGCUAGGCAAUACUUACUGCUUUGGGGUAGAUCAUUGUUUUGAAAUCUUUUUAGUGUAAAGGGCUGUGUAUCUUUAUGUUAUCUUAAGGGUAAAAUGCAUAAUGACUUCAUCUUAACUCUUUCAAUGCAAAUUUAGAACUCUAUGGCUUUUACAUAAUAUCACACCUUCACUUAAAUCACACAUUUGUAUUUUCAUUUACUAUGCUAAAAAUCCUGGUUCCUAAUGAUACCAACAUUGAACAUUCUCAAAAUGGAAUAGGUCAGACACACGCUGUUUCUGGUAGGUAAAGUUUGGCGUCUACAUUUUACACAGGUGAUUCUGAUGCUUACCAACAUACAAAUGUUCUAAACUAUCUUAAGUUGUCAAUGUUUAAACUGUGCCUCCCAUUUUCUUCUAAGAAUUCCCCUUUUCUUUCUUGAUUGGCCAUAUUCUUGUUGAGUCACCUAUGUAGCAUUGGAAAAUUUUUUUCUUGUUUAACUCGGUACUCUACCCAUGUAAUAGAAAAGACUACAGUUAUUUCACUCCUGUGAAAGUGAGGCUGCAGUUCUCUUUGACGCUUACUUGGAAUGCUAAAAUAGUGGAUAACCUCACAACUAAGGCUCUGCCUGAGGCCAGAGAGGGGAAUCCUCUCUGCUUUAAGCAGAAUGCCUGGUAAUGGAGUAGAUUUGCUUUAGGGCAAUUCUGCAUUUGAUAAAAUAUCAGAGCAAUUUAUGU